This 253-nucleotide ribosomal RNA is filed under the name uncultured bacterium. RNAcentral describes it as "partial 16S ribosomal RNA". It matches the Rfam family "Bacterial small subunit ribosomal RNA", at positions 524 to 776 of the family's 1533-position model. The record is from RNAcentral.
UACGUAGGGUGCAAGCGUUGUCCGGAAUUAUUGGGCGUAAAGAGCUCGUAGGCGGUCUGUCGCGUCGGAUGUGAAAACCCAGGGCUCAACCCUGGGCCUGCAUUCGAUACGGGCAGACUAGAGUGCGGUAGGGGAGAUCGGAAUUCCUGGUGUAGCGGUGAAAUGCGCAGAUAUCAGGAGGAACACCGGUGGCGAAGGCGGGUCCCUGGGCCGAUACUGACGCUGAGGAGCGAAAGCGUGGGGAGCGAACAGG